RNAcentral lists this ribosomal RNA (425 nucleotides) under uncultured bacterium. RNAcentral's name for it is "bacterial SSU rRNA". It matches the Rfam family "Bacterial small subunit ribosomal RNA", at positions 356 to 773 of the family's 1533-position model. The record is from RNAcentral.
GGGGAAUAUUGCGCAAUGGGCGCAAGCCUGAUGCAGCCAUGCCGCGUGUAUGAAGAAGGCCUUCGGGUUGUAAAGUACUUUCAGCGGGGAGGAAGGCGACGGGGUUAAUAACCCUGUCGAUUGACGUUACCCGCAGAAGAAGCACCGGCUAACUCCGUGCCAGCAGCCGCGGUAAUACGGAGGGUGCAAGCGUUAAUCGGAAUUACUGGGCGUAAAGCGCACGCAGGCGGUCUGUUAAGUCAGAUGUGAAAUCCCCGGGCUUAACCUGGGAACUGCAUUUGAAACUGGCAGGCUUGAGUCUUGUAGAGGGGGGUAGAAUUCCAGGUGUAGCGGUGAAAUGCGUAGAGAUCUGGAGGAAUACCGGUGGCGAAGGCGGCCCCCUGGACAAAGACUGACGCUCAGGGGCGAAAGCGUGGGGAGCAAAC